AGGGAGCCUGAGAAACGGCUACCACAUCCAAGGAAGGCAGCAGGCGCGCAAAUUACCCAAUCCUGACACAGGGAGGUAGUGACAAUAAAUAACGAUAUAGGGCCUUUGGUCUUAUAAUCGGAAUGAGAACAAUUUAAACCACUUAUCGAGGAACAAUUGGAGGGCAAGUCUGGUGCCAGCAGCCGCGGUAAUUCCAGCUCCAAUAGCGUAUGUUAAAGUUGUUGCAGUUAAAAAGCUCGUAGUUGAACCUCGCCGCCGGCUCCGGGUCCCCCGAAAGGGGUGUACUCGGCGCUUGCGGCUUUGCCCUACUAGUGUGUGCGUUCGCGUGCACUCAUAGGGGGCGUUUACUGUGAGAAAAUUAGAGUGUUCAAAGCAGGCGUUUCGCUCGUAUACGUUAGCAUGGAAUAAUAGAAUAGGACGAGGGUUCUAUUUUGUUGGUUCUAGGACCGUCGUAAUGAUUAAUAGGGAUGGUCGGGGGCAUCAGUAUUCAGUAGUAAGAGGUGAAAUUCUUGGAUUUACUGAAGACUAACUGCUGCGAAAGCGUUUGCCAAGGACAUCUUCAUUAAUCAAGAACGAAAGUUAGGGGAUCGAAGACGCUUAGAUACCGUCGUAGUCUUAACCGUAAACUAUGCCGACUCUGAAUCGGCCCCUUUAUAUUCAUGGGGGGUCGGCGCAGUGUGAGAAAUCAAAGUUUUUAGGUUCUGGGGGGAGUAUGGUCGCAAGGCUGAAACUUAAAGGAAUUGACGGAAGGGCACCACCAGGAGUGGAGCCUGCGGCUUAAUUUGACUCAACACGGGGAAACUCACCAGGUCCAGACUUCUGUAGGAUUGACGCAUUGGCGAUGCUUCAUGAUUAGAAGGGUGGUGGUGCAUGGCCGUUCUUAGUUCGUGACGUAAGUUGUCUGCUUUAUUGCGAUAACGAGCGAGACCUCGGCCGCUAGUUGCCGGAGCCCACAUUUUGUGGGUUUCCGGCUCUUAGCGGGACUACCGGAGACAAUUCGGGGGAGGUUCGAGGCAAUAACAGGUCUGUGAUGCCCUUAGACGUUCUGGGCCGCACGCGCGCUACACUGACGCAGCCAGCGAGUUUAAACCUUUUCCGAAAGGAAUGGGUAAUCUUGUUAAACUGCGUCGUGCUGGGGAUAGAGCUUUGCAAUUUUUGCUCUUGAACGAGGAAUUCCUAGUAAGCGCAAGUCAUCAACUUGCGUUGAUUACGUCCCUGCCCUUUGUACACACCGCCCGUCGUUACUACCGAUUGAAUGGCUUAGUGAGAUCCUAGGAGAGUUUGUGCAUGAGGGCAACCUCUAGCGCGAGUUCAAAUUCGAUCAAACUUGGUCAUUUAGAGGAAGUACAAGUCGUAACAAGGUUUCCGUAGGUGAACCUGCGGAAGG
This 1387-nucleotide ribosomal RNA is filed under the name Starmerella bombicola. Its description in RNAcentral is "SSU rRNA". It matches the Rfam family "Eukaryotic small subunit ribosomal RNA", at positions 389 to 1824 of the family's 1831-position model. The record is from RNAcentral. Lineage: Eukaryota; Fungi; Ascomycota; Dipodascomycetes; Dipodascales; Trichomonascaceae.